RNAcentral lists this ribosomal RNA (360 nucleotides) under Bacillus sp. (in: firmicutes). RNAcentral describes it as "bacterial SSU rRNA". It matches the Rfam family "Bacterial small subunit ribosomal RNA", at positions 516 to 875 of the family's 1533-position model. The record is from RNAcentral. Lineage: Bacteria; Bacillati; Bacillota; Bacilli; Caryophanales; Bacillaceae.
CGCGGUAAUACGUAGGGGGCAAGCGUUGUCCGGAAUUAUUGGGCGUAAAGCGCGCGCAGGCGGUCUUUUAAGUCUGGUGUUUAAGCCCGGGGCUCAACCCCGGUUCGCACCGGAAACUGGAAGACUUGAGUGCAGGAGAGGAAAGCGGAAUUCCACGUGUAGCGGUGAAAUGCGUAGAGAUGUGGAGGAACACCAGUGGCGAAGGCGGCUUUCUGGACUGUAACUGACGCUGAGGCGCGAAAGCGUGGGGAGCAAACAGGAUUAGAUACCCUGGUAGUCCACGCCGUAAACGAUGAGUGCUAGGUGUUAGGGGUUUCGAUACCCUUGGUGCCGAAGUAAACACAAUAAGCACUCCGCCUG